Molecule: ribosomal RNA, 830 nt
Filed under: uncultured eukaryote
Lineage: Eukaryota
Description: SSU rRNA
Rfam family: Eukaryotic small subunit ribosomal RNA
Source: RNAcentral
GAUUCGCCCUUGGGUUCGAUUCCGGAGAGGGAGCCUGAGAAACGGCUACCACAUCUAAGGAUGGCAGCAGAGGCGUAAAUUACCCAAUCCUGACUCAGGGAGGUAGUGACAAGAAAUAACGAACCGUGACAUUGUUACGGGAUUGCAAUGAACCGAUUUUUUUUCCCUUGGUGAGGAGCAAUUGGAGGGCAAGUCUGGUGCCAGCAGCCGCGGUAAUUCCAGCUCCAAUAGCAUAUAUUAAUGUUGUUGCAGUUAAAAAGCUCGUAGUUGGAUUUCUGCAGGAGUGCCAAUGUCCGCCCACGUGCGUGUGCAGCGGCGCCCCUGCAUCCUUCGGUUACCUCCGCUCGGCAUUCACUCGCCGGCGGUAGGCUCCGAAUAUUUACCUUGAGAAAAUUAGAGUGUUUCAGGCAGGCUAAGCCGGAAUACAUUAGCAUGGAAUAAUAGAAUAGGACUACGGUCUCGUUGUUGGUUUGAGGGACUGGAGUAAUGAUUAAUAGGGAUAGUUGGGGGCAUUAGUAUUUAAUUGUCAGAGGUGAAAUUCUCAGAUUAACUAAAGACUAACUUAUGCGAAAGCAUUUGCCAAGGAUGUUUUCAUUAAUCAAGAACGAAAGUUAGGGGAUCAAAGACGAUCAGAUACCGUCCUAGUCUUAACCAUAAACUAUGCCAACUCGGGAUCGGGGGCGUGUAAUUAUCCGCCUUCGGCACCGUAUGAGAAAUCAAAGUCUUUGGGUUCUGGGGGGGAGUAUGGUCGCAAGGUUGAAACUUAAAGGAAUUGACGGAAGGGCACCACCAGGCGUGGAGCUUGCGGCUCAAUUUGACUCAACACGGAA